AGGAACUGGGAGUGCUAAACAUGAGCCAGCUGUGCCCAGGUGGCCAAGAAGACCAGUGGCAUUCUGGCUUGGAUCAGCAAUGG
Molecule: non-coding RNA, 83 nt
Organism: Sturnus vulgaris (Common starling)
Lineage: Eukaryota; Metazoa; Chordata; Aves; Passeriformes; Sturnidae
Source: RefSeq, a predicted model, not a curated record